UGUGUUUCUAGGAAGACAUUUGAGACACCAAAAAGAAGAGAUGUCUUUGAUUUUAUUAUUAAUCUAUACUAAAGACACAUAUCAAAAGCUAUGCUAUGAGGAUGCUCUUAGAAUAAUCUAGGUCCGAUUACUCCUCUCUCAGUAUAAUCAUUCCUCCCAAAAAUUGUCCUAAAACCUUGUUGUGCUCUCUGAUAAUAAAUAGCAAGUUGCUAUUUAAGAUCAUCCGCAUUGCAUAACUAACAAAAAUGUCCUCCCAUAUUAAUUCAAUUAUUAAAAUGUGCAGGGUGAUUUUAAAUGAGAGACCCCUUUCCCAAAAUGUCUCAAUUG
This is a long non-coding RNA of Arabidopsis thaliana (thale cress), 327 nucleotides long. RefSeq annotates it as other RNA. Lineage: Eukaryota; Viridiplantae; Streptophyta; Magnoliopsida; Brassicales; Brassicaceae. The transcript has a single exon. The record is from RefSeq.